UAUUGUACGAAAAAAACCAAUACUGAAAAUCUGCCAUUGACCACCAUUGUACUUUCUCUCUGUUUUCUCUCUCACCGCCUUUUUGCCGCUGUGAACAACUCCAAAAAGCCCUCUCUCUUUCUUCUUCUUCACCUUUUUAGAGAGAAAGAGAGAAACCCAGUUAUCUUUUCGGUUUGCUUGUUGAUUUCUCUCUCUAUCUAUAUAUAUAUAUAUAUCUAUAUAUCUAUACAUCUAUAUGUAUGUAUUGUUUCUUCAUUAUUCGUCCAUAUCUCUAUUAAUUCAUCAAUUAACUACAAAACCCAUCUCCCAUUUGUUUGAUCCAACGGCCAUAAUUCAUCUGCUUAUUCAAUCGUUCGACUAAAAGGAUUUGUCUGCGUAUCGGGUAACUUUGUCAACGAAGGCGGCUAGGACGAGUGGGGAGAAAUUACUAAUGCAUGUAUUUGUUGUGAACGGGCUGAAGGAGUUGAAAUUUGUGAGGCCAGGCAUAUGGAAUCUAAUGGUUACAGAAAGAGUAACAAAAGGAAUCUUGUUACCAUUCAAAAUGGUAAUCAUAGCCCGCUGAAUAUAGAUGAGGAGCUGGAUCCAUGGACCGCUUGGGCAUACAAACCUCGUACUAUUACAUUGUUGCUUAUUGGUGCAUGUUUCCUCAUCUGGGCAAGUGGAGCUCUUGAACCGCAAAGUACUUCCUCCAGUGAUGUUACUACUUCUGUGAAAAGGGGAAUUUUGGCAAUGGUUGCUGUUUAUCUUGCCUACUCUUUGCUGCAAGCCCCUUCAACGGUACUUAUUAGACCACAUCCUGCGAUUUGGCGCCUGGUUCAUGGAAUGGCUGUGAUUUAUCUUGUUGCUUUGACAUUUCUACUUUUUCAGAGGCGCGAUGAUGCUCGCCAGUUUAUGACAUUUCUUCAUCCUGAUCUUGGCAUUGAACUUCCUGAAAAAUCUUAUGGUGCUGAUUGCAGACUCUAUGUACCUGAAAAUCCCACAAACAGGUUUAAGAAUCUUUAUGACACAUUGUUCGAUGAGUUCGUUCUGGCUCAUAUCUUAGGGUGGUGGGGCAAGGCCAUCAUGAUACGUAAUCAGCCUCUUUUGUGGGUCUUAUCCAUUGGGUUUGAGUUGAUGGAGCUUACUUUCCGCCACAUGUUACCAAACUUUAAUGAGUGCUGGUGGGACAGCAUUAUUCUGGAUAUAUUCAUUUGCAACUGGUUUGGCAUCUUGGCUGGAAUGCGUACUGUUCGAUAUUUUGAUGGAAGAACAUAUGAGUGGGUUGGUAUAAGCCGGCAGCCAAAUAUUAUGGGCAAGGUCAAGCGAACACUUGGCCAAUUUACACCUGCACAUUGGGAUAAAGAUGAAUGGCGACCCCUCCUUGGUCCCUGGCGAUUCCUUCAAGUUCUCACUCUCUGUGUUAUUUUCUUGACUGUGGAAUUGAAUACAUUCUUCUUGAAGUUCUGUCUUUGGAUUCCUCCUAGAAACCCUCUGAUAGUGUAUAGGUUGGUUUUGUGGUGGCUACUUGCGAUACCAACAAUUCGGGAGUACAACAGUUACCUACAGGACAGGACACCAGUUAAAAAGGUGGGAGCAUAUUGCUGGCUUUCACUAGCUAUUUGCAUUGUUGAACUCCUAAUCUGCGUCAAGUUCGGACAUGGAUUGUUUCCUGACCCCAUGCCCAAUUGGUUAGUAAUUUUCUGGACAUGCACCGGUGUUGGCCUUGUGUUAUGUUUGGCUGCAUGGUCAUGGCAAUUACAUCGUACAAUGAGGAAAAAACAGCAAUGAGUUUCUGCAGUAACUCCAUUCUUUAUUCCUUUGUGUUAUUUCGGGUAACCAACCCUCUUGUACAUACCAAUUACCUUUUAACUGUACAUGUUUUCUUCCUAGUUUAGGUAUUAUAGUUGAAAAUGUAGUGAACCACAAUUCUUUAUCACUAGGUCACAGGUUGGUAGAUUGCCUUGUUUGUGCUGCCUCAGUUUGCAGUCUCUUUCCUAAAUAAUUUUUUUACGGAAUGUAUGUCGAAACUUGAAAGUUUUGCAAUUUCAGCUCUAUCUCCAGGGCUAUUUUUCUCUUGAAGAUCAUCGAGUCUAUCGGUGGUACAAGUUUCUGAGAACUGUCUCUUGACCAGAUAAUGUGGAACAGAGAGAGUUGAAACAUAGUUUUCAUGCAUGAGGUAUGAUAUAGCAUCUUUGAAAGUAGAUGAUGUUGGUAUUAGUGGUUUUCAAGCUAACAUAGCUCUAGUCUACCAUAAGGGGAGUGCACUCACUAUUUAUUCUUCUUGUGGUUGAUUUGAGAAACAAUACCACCGUCUAUGAAACGGUAGAUAGCAACAGAAAUCGAAGGACAAGAAAUUAUAGGAGCAGUACUACAGGUAGUAGUGAGGACGGAUUUUGCUCCUACCCUAAUCUGUGUCCUCCAUAUCUCCUAUCUGAAGUUAUGUCUUCGGUAAGUUGAGACUGCAUCAUGUCCAAUCUAAUCACCUCUAUUCAGUAUUCUUUUGAUUUAUCCUUUGCCUUUUGAGGAACUACCUAUAGAAAGUCAACCUCUUACACCUCCACCUUGCGGGAUUCGAAAUAUAUUGGGACCAUCUCAACCUCAUUUCUCACAUUUUGUCCUCCAUCGAAGUCGCUUCCAUCUUGUCACAAAUAUCCUUAUUUUUAAUCUCUCUCCCUCACAUCUAUUGCAACAUCCUCAUUUUUGCAAUUCUCAAGUUUUGAACGUGAAAGUUCUUGAGUGAUCAACGCUUAUUCCCAUACAACAUAAUUGUGCUAUGCAGAACUUGCGUUAAUGACACUUUUUUAUCACACGGGACUCCAGAUGCGUGUCUCGUGUCUCAGUUUCAUUCAUUCUACACCAAUAUGGUGAGUGACGUCCUCAUUUAUCAUUUUGAUAAUAGAUUCGAAAUACUUGAAACUUUCGCUCUUUUAAAUGACUUGUGUAUCAAGUUUCAAUUUUACACCCGUCUUAUGUAUUACGUCACUAAAAACUUGCACUUCAAGUAUUCUUUUGCUCUACUUGAACCCUUUAAACUACAGGGUUUGUUUCAAAACUUCCCACUUGACGUUAGCUCCAUCACAAAUCUCAUUAAUCGGACUAUAUCAUCCACAAAUAACAUAUACUUUUUGACACCUCACUUUAAAUUUAUUUAACAACAAUGAAAUACAUUAAAAUAGGUAGAAUAUUACAUAUAAUCUCAUCAAGAAAAAAAAAAUAUCAAAUGAUGCAAUGAAAAAAAAGGUAAAUGAAGUCAUGACUAAGCAAAUCUUGAACAAUAUUAAUAAUCAGAGGUAUUCGGUUCAAGCUUUGAGUGUGAAGAAAACCCUGUCGAGAGCGUUACCCUCAAGUUAGCUUUAUUCAAAUUUUAUCGAGACUUCAAUAUAAACUCCGAACAC
Molecule: non-coding RNA, 3374 nt
Organism: Solanum lycopersicum (tomato)
Lineage: Eukaryota; Viridiplantae; Streptophyta; Magnoliopsida; Solanales; Solanaceae
Source: RefSeq, a predicted model, not a curated record